UUGGAUUUGUGGUGUGUCCAGUUGGCCUUUGCUCUUUGAGUGAUAGUGCUUUACUGGUCUGCCAUGUUUGGGUGGAAUCUGUGUGGCAUUAAGUUGUCGUGCAGGGGAUGCCCAUCGUUUACUGUGAAAAAAUUAGAGUGUUCAAAGCAGGCUUAUGCCUCUGAAUAUAUUAGCAUGGAAUAAUGAUAUAGGACCUUGGUACUAUUUUGUUGGUUUGCGCACUGAGGUAAUGAUUAAGAGGGACAGUUGGGGGUAUUUGUAUUCCAUUGUCAGAGGUGAAAUUCUUGGAUUUUUGGAAGACAAACUACUGCGAAAGCAUUUACCAAGGAUGUUUUCAUUAAUCAAGAACGAAAGUUAGGGGAUCGAAGAUGAUUAGAUACCA
RNAcentral lists this ribosomal RNA (382 nucleotides) under Fragilariopsis sp. RCC5511. Its description in RNAcentral is "SSU rRNA". It matches the Rfam family "Eukaryotic small subunit ribosomal RNA", at positions 634 to 1017 of the family's 1831-position model. Lineage: Eukaryota; Bacillariophyta; Bacillariophyceae; Bacillariales; Bacillariaceae. The record is from RNAcentral.